GACGAACGCUGGCGGCGUGCUUAACACAUGCAAGUCGAACGGAAAGGCCCUGCUUUUGUGGGGUGCUCGAGUGGCGAACGGGUGAGUAACACGUGAGUAACCUGCCCUUGACUUUGGGAUAACUUCAGGAAACUGGGGCUAAUACCGGAUAGGAUCUCCUGCUGCAUGGUGGGGGUUGGAAAGUUUCGGCGGUUGGGGAUGGACUCGCGGCUUAUCAGCUUGUUGGUGGGGUAGUGGCUUACCAAGGCUUUGACGGGUAGCCGGCCUGAGAGGGUGACCGGCCACAUGGGGACUGAGAGACGGACCAGAAGCCUACGGGAGGCAGCAGUGGGGAAUAUUGCACAAUGGGCGGAAGCCUGAGGCAGCAACGCCGCGUGCGGGAUGACGGCCUUCGGGUGGUAAACCGCUGUCGCAUGUGACGAAGCGUGAGUGACGGUAAUGGGUAAAGAAGCACCGGCUAACUACGUG
RNAcentral lists this ribosomal RNA (468 nucleotides) under uncultured bacterium. RNAcentral's name for it is "partial 16S ribosomal RNA". It matches the Rfam family "Bacterial small subunit ribosomal RNA", at positions 28 to 507 of the family's 1533-position model. The record is from RNAcentral.